Molecule: ribosomal RNA, 564 nt
Filed under: uncultured Phialocephala
Lineage: Eukaryota; Fungi; Ascomycota; Leotiomycetes; Helotiales
Description: eukaryotic LSU rRNA
Rfam family: 5.8S ribosomal RNA (bases 205-358)
Source: RNAcentral
UCCGUAGGUGAACCUGCGGAAGGAUCAUUACAAGUGAGGCUACCGAACGUUGGAAACAGCGGUUAGGAGCUUACACCCACCCGUGUUUACAUACUAUUGUUGCUUUGGCGGGCCGUGGCCUCCACUGCGGGCUCUGCUCGUGUGUGCCCGCCAGAGGACCAAACUCUGAAUGUUAGUGAUGUCUGAGUACUAUCUAAUAGUUAAAACUUUCAACAACGGAUCUCUUGGUCCUGGCAUCGAUGAAGAACGCAGCGAAAUGCGAUAAGUAAUGUGAAUUGCAGAAUUCAGUGAAUCAUCGAAUCUUUGAACGCACAUUGCGCCCUGUGGUAUUCCGCAGGGCAUGCCUGUUCGAGCGUCAUUUAACCACUCACGCCUAGCGUGGUAUUGGGGCACGCGGUCUCGCGGCCCUCAAAAUUAGUGGCGGCGCCGGUGGGCUCUAAGCGUAGUACAUACUCCCGCUAUAGAGUUCCCCCGGUGGCUCGCCAGAACCCCCAAUUUCUUACAGGUUGACCUCGGAUCAGGUAGGGAUACCCGCUGAACUUAAGCAUAUCAAUAAGCGGAGGA